This 422-nucleotide ribosomal RNA is filed under the name uncultured Bacteroides sp. RNAcentral describes it as "bacterial SSU rRNA". It matches the Rfam family "Bacterial small subunit ribosomal RNA", at positions 355 to 774 of the family's 1533-position model. Lineage: Bacteria; Pseudomonadati; Bacteroidota; Bacteroidia; Bacteroidales; Bacteroidaceae. The record is from RNAcentral.
UGAGGAAUAUUGGUCAAUGGGCGCAGGCCUGAACCAGCCAAGUAGCGUGAAGGAUGACUGCCCUAUGGGUUGUAAACUUCUUUUAUAAAGGAAUAAAGUCGGGUAUGCAUACCCGUUUGCAUGUACUUUAUGAAUAAGGAUCGGCUAACUCCGUGCCAGCAGCCGCGGUAAUACGGAGGAUCCGAGCGUUAUCCGGAUUUAUUGGGUUUAAAGGGAGCGUAGAUGGAUGUUUAAGUCAGUUGUGAAAGUUUGCGGCUCAACCGUAAAAUUGCAGUUGAUACUGGAUAUCUUGAGUGCAGUUGAGGCAGGCGGAAUGCGUGGUGUAGCGGUGAAAUGCUUAGAUAUCACGCAGAACCCCGAUUGCGAAGGCAGCCUGCUAAGCUGCAACUGACAUUGAGGCUCGAAAGUGUGGGUAUCAAACA